RNAcentral lists this ribosomal RNA (300 nucleotides) under uncultured Lactobacillus sp. RNAcentral's name for it is "bacterial SSU rRNA". It matches the Rfam family "Bacterial small subunit ribosomal RNA", at positions 496 to 795 of the family's 1533-position model. Lineage: Bacteria; Bacillati; Bacillota; Bacilli; Lactobacillales; Lactobacillaceae. The record is from RNAcentral.
GCUAACCGUGGGCCAGGGGGCGGGGGAAGACAGAGGGUUCGGGCGUUAAUCGGAUGGACUGGGCGUAAAGCGCGCGUAGGUGGCUAAUUAAGUCAAAUGUGAAAUCCCCGAGCUUAACUUGGGAAUUGCAUUCGAUACUGGUUGGCUAGAGGAUGGGAGAGGAUGGUAGAAUUCCAGGUGUAGCGGUGAAAUGCGUAGAGAUCUGGAGGAAUACCGAUGGCGAAGGCAGCCAUCUGGCCUAAUACUGACACUGAGGUGCGAAAGCAUGGGGAGCAAACAGGAUUAGAUACCCCAGUAGUC